UGCAAGUCGAACGAAGUAGCAAUACUUAGUGGCAGACGGGUGAGUAACAUGUAGGUAUCUGCCCUUUGGCCUGGAAUAACACGAGGAAACUUGUGCUAAUACCGGAUAAGUCUUUACAGAGAAAGCUUUAUGCACCAUUGGAUGAGCCUGCACUUGAUUAGUUUGUUGGUGGGGUAAUGGCCUACCAAGACUGUGAUCAAUAGCUGAUUUGAGAGGAUGAUCAGCCACAUUGGGACUGAGACACGGCCCAAACUCCUACGGGAGGCAGCAGUGGGGAAUCUUGCACAAUGGAGGAAACUCUGAUGCAGCGAUGCCGCGUGAGUAAAGAAGGCCUUUGGGUUGUAAAGCUCUUUCGUCGGGGAAGAAAAUGACUGUACCCGAAUAAGAAGGUCCGGCUAACUUCGUGCCAGCAGCCGCGGUAAUACGAAGGGACCUAGCGUAGUUCGGAAUUACUGGGCUUAAAGAGUUCGUAGGUGGUUGAAAAAGUUAGUGGUGAAAUCCCAGAGCUUAACUCUGGAACUGCCAUUAAAACUUUUCAGCUAGAGUAUGAUAGAGGAAAGCAGAAUUUCUAGUGUAGAGGUGAAAUUCGUAGAUAUUAGAAAGAAUACCAAUUGCGAAGGCAGCUUUCUGGAUCAUUACUGACACUGAGGAACGAAAGCAUGGGUAGCGAAGAGGAUUAGAUACCCUCGUAGUCCAUGCCGUAAACGAUGUGUGUUAGACGUUGGAAAUUUAUUUUCAGUGUC
Molecule: ribosomal RNA, 743 nt
Filed under: uncultured marine bacterium
Lineage: Bacteria
Description: bacterial SSU rRNA
Rfam family: Bacterial small subunit ribosomal RNA
Source: RNAcentral